Long non-coding RNA from Eriocheir sinensis (Chinese mitten crab), 4112 nucleotides. RefSeq lists it as uncharacterized. NCBI's taxonomy places the organism in Eukaryota, Metazoa, Arthropoda, Malacostraca, Decapoda, Varunidae. The transcript has 3 exons. The record is from RefSeq and is a predicted model, not a curated record.
AGAAAAGGAAAACAUAUGAAGGAAAAAAAAGAUUAAGGUAAGUAAAGGAAAAAGGCAAAGGAAUAAAGGUGAAAAAAAGGAAAACAAAUGAAGGAAAAAAAGAUUAAGGUAAGUUAAGGAAAAAGACAAAGGAAUAAAGGUGAAAAAAAAGGAAAACGAAUGAAGGAAAAAAAAGAUUAAGGUAAGUAAAGGAAGAAUGCAAAGGAAUGAAGGUGGAAAAAAAAGGAAAACAAAUGAAGGAAAAAAAAUUAAGGUAAGUAAAGGAAGAAUGCAACAGAAAAAAAGAUGAAAAAAAAAAAGAAAAAAAAAAGAUUAAGGCAAAGGAAGGAAUGCAAAAUAAAGGUCAAGUAAGGUUAGCAAAGGGCAAGGCAAACACACACACACACACACACACACAGAGGAGUCAUGCAAGCCACACAAAGGAGUCAGGGGAGGAGUUAGCGGCACAGACAACAAAGGAAUCAAGACAAAGGGACGUAACGAAGGUGAGGUCAAUAGAGGGGUCAUGCAGGUCACACAGAGGUCAAGGUCAGUUUACACAUUACCCCAAAAAAAUAUUGAAUAAGUUAGUUGCCGAUAUUUUGAUAAAGGAACGCAGUAAAGGAAUGCGUAAAUAAAUGAAAGGAAAAUGGAUGUAGUAACCAUUAUCAUUAUUAUUAUUAUUAUUAUUAUUGUUGUGUUUGAGCACAUAAUACAGUCAGGUCGAGGAGGAGUGUGUGUGUGUGUGUGUGUGUGUGUGUGUUAGAAAUAGUUCACCGUGUAAGUAUAUCCAGUCAAUGAUAGAGAGCAAGAGAGAGAGAAAGAGAGAGAGAGAGAACCAUUACCAGUCAGAGAGUAGAGUUAGUGAGUGCCAAGUACCGUCACCAACCACAGAACACACAGACAGACCGUUGUUAGUGUGCCAGGUUAGUGUGCCACAGAAAGGUACACAAAGGGUGAGAGAGAGAGAGAGUGACGGAAAAAUUCAAAAGUAACGAGAAAAAAUGCGAAAAAAAACAAAAAAUAUCCAGAGUUGAAAUAUUUAUGUGAAGGAAGUGAAGGAAGAAAGAAGAUAAAAAGCAACAUAAAGAAGAGAAGAAGGAGUAGAAACAAAAUAAAAGAAAUAAAAGAAAAGGAGAAAAAAACAAAAUAUAUCCAGAGUUGAAAUAUUUACAUGUAGGAAGUGAAGGAAGAGAGAAGACAAAAGCAACAUGAAGCAAGAAUAGAAGUAGAAAUAAAAGCAAAAUAAAAGAAAUUAAAGAAAUAAAAGGAGAAAAAACAAAAUAUAACCAGAGUUGAAAUAUUUACGUGAAGGAAGUGAAGGAAGAGAGAAGAUAAACAGCAACAAGAAGAGGAGAAGUAGAAAUAGAAGCAAAAUAAUAGAAACAGAAGUGAAAUAAUAAUAAUGACCAAUAUACAAUGUGGAUGGAGGAGAGGAUAAGGACAGAGAGAAAGCGAGAGAGACGGAGAGAGGGAAAAAAAUGAAAAGAUCAGUACACCAUUCAUAUUAAAAUCAAAGUCAUCUUAACACAUAAAUAUUAAUAAAACAACAAGACUGAAAAAAAAUAUCACGCUACAUUCAUGCUAGGAUUAAAAAACAUUAAUAUAUAGCAAAAACCAGAAAAAAAGUUAGCACAGCAUCCAUGUAAAUAAACUCCAAUCAAUCUUAACAUGAAUAUUAAUAAAGAAACAAGGCUGGCAAAAAAAUAUUACAACCAUUCAUGCCAGGAGUAAAAAGAUAUUAAUGUGGAGCAAUAAAGAGAAAAAUAUUAACCCCUUCAACACGAGGACGCGUGUACUGUGUCCUUGCGUGCCCCGUACCAUAUCAGAGGACGCGCAUACUGCAUCCUGGCACGCCUUAGCCAAUAUACGAGUUAUUUUAUCUUUAUAUUUAUGUUUACAUCUUAAAAUUAUCAAUUAAUUUAUGCUUCUUUAUGUGCACCAUUUAAUUCUGCAUGUUUUCAUAUAUAAUACAUGAUGAUUAUGUUGAGUUUAUGGCUGAAAACUUGUUAUAUUCAAUAGCAACAUUUGAAAUUUGGCGCGCACGGCGAUCCUGGAUACAACGCGGGGCGCUGUUUUGGCCCGGCCGUAGUGAGUUUCUUUAUGUGCACCAUUUAAUUCUGCAUGUUUUCAUAUAUAAUACAUGAUGAUUGUAUUGAAUUUAUGGCUGAAAACUUGUUAUAUUCAAUAACAUUUGAAAUUUGGCGCGCGCGGUGAUAUCGGAUACGGCACAGGGCUCUGUUUUCGCCCGGCCGUAGUGAAGGGGUUAAGUUAGUAUUCAUAUUAAAAUCAAAUUAAUCUUUAAAAAAAAAAAAAAAAAAAAAAAAACAUUCAUGCUUGGAUUAAAACAAGAUUAAUAUGGAGCAAUAAAGCAAAAAAUAAUAAGUUAGCAUUCAUAUUAAAAUCAAAUUAAUCUUAAAAAAAAAAAAUAAAUAAAUAAAUAAAUAAAUAAAUAAAAUAAACAUUCAUGCUUGGAUUAAAAAAAUAUUAAUAUAGCCAAAAUAACACAAUUCAUAUUAUUAAAAAACAAAAACACAAAACAUUAGUGGGAAGCAACACCAAACGCAGGAAAUGGGAAACGGUGAGCUGUGUGCCGGGAGUGUGCGGUGUGUGGCCUGGACUCAAGUAGGAGGGAUGGUGCACUGAGGGAAAGGCACUGGUUCAUUUAGGAAAGGUUAUAUCUAGUAGUUAAGGCACUGGUUGACUCAUUUAUGUAAGGUUACUACUGUGAUAUUUAGUACAUAAAGCUAUUGAUUCAUUUAGCUGUCAUUAUAUUUAGUAGGUAAAGCCAUUGACUCAUUUAUGUAAGGUUACUACUGUGAUAUUUAGUACAUAAAGCUAUUGAUUCAUUUAGCGGUCAUUAUAUUUAGUAGGUAAAGCCAUUGACUCAUUUAUGUAAGGUUACUACUGUUAUAUUUAGUACAUAAAGCUAUUGAUUCAUUUAGCUGUCAUUAUAUUUAGUAGGUAAAGCCAUUGACUCAUUUAUGUAAGGUUACUACUGUUAUAUUUAGUACAUAAAGCUAUUGAUUCAUUUGGCUGUCAUUAUAUUUAGUAGGUAAAGCCACUGACUCAUUUAUGUAAGGUUACUACUGUGAUAUUCAGCGUGGAAAGCUACUGACUCAUUUAGGUGUAAUAUAUUUAGCCAAGUGAGUUGUUGAUUCAUUUGGGCAUCACUUUAUUUAGCAGAGUAAGCCCUUGAUUAAUUUGUGUAAGGUUACUAAUUAAUGUUGGAGGGGGUCAGGUGAGGGAAGAUAAAUGAAGGGAAGCUGUUUUGAUUCAUUAAGGUAAAGGAAGGUCUGGCUUAGGUAAGGGAAGGGUAGAAUUGAUGCUCUCGGUUCCUUUAGGUGAAAGAUUCUCUCUCUCUCUCUCUCUCUCACACACACACCCUGUCUCUCACAUGCAUAUAUAAAAAAUGGUGAUACUUGUGAUGAUAAUGGUGUUUAUGAUAAUGGAAUUGGUGAUGAUGAUAGUGGCAAUGAGGAAAGAAAAGCAGAUAGAUAGUAGAAGAAAAUGACACUGAUGCUGAUGGGACAAAAAUGCAGUGGACUCGCUCAAUAUAGAAAUGUUAUAAAUACUAACAUGACUUAAUAACUACCAGCCAGAGGGUAUCACUUUGGCCCACUGGUUAAGGAGUGGCUUCCCCAUCUAGCUGGUCAUGGGUUUGAUCCCUGGCGCCGGUAAGCCCUUUCCUGGUCUGGGUUAAUUUCUCAGGCAUUUUGUGACAUGCAGAGGUUGUGUGGGGGCAUGGCAAAGUGGAGUUUAGUGACAUUACAUUAGUAGUAUUUCCACGGGUAGUUUUAUGAGCCUAGUGGUAGUUUGAGGGUGAUGGAAAAGUGUGAGUUCAAUGGUGUUGCUAAAAUAAUGAUACUUCUGAUGUGAGAAAGACAGUGAUGAUCAUGGUGGUGGUGGUGGGUUUGUGGGUGAUGGAAGAGUGUGAGUUUAAUGGUGUUGCUAAAAUAAUGAUACUUCUGGUGUGAGAAAGACAGUGAUGAUCAUGGUGGUGGUGGAGGUGGAGGUGGUGGUGGUGGUGGGUUUGUGGGUGAUGGAAAAGUGUGAGUUCAAUGGUGUUGCUAAAAUGAUGAUACUUCUGGUGUGAGAAAGAUGGUGAUGAUCAUGGAGGUGGUGGUGGUGGU